GAGUUUGAUCGUGGCUCAGAUUGAACGCUGGCGGCAUGCCUUACACAUGCAAGUCGAACGGCAGCAUGAUCUAGCUUGCUAGAUUGAUGGCGAGUGGCGAACGGGUGAGUAAUACAUCGGAACGUGCCCUGUAGUGGGGGAUAACUAGUCGAAAGAUUAGCUAAUACCGCAUACGACCUGAGGGUGAAAGUGGGGGACCGCAAGGCCUCAUGCUAUAGGAGCGGCCGAUGUCUGAUUAGCUAGUUGGUGGGGUAAAGGCCCACCAAGGCGACGAUCAGUAGCUGGUCUGAGAGGACGAUCAGCCACACUGGGACUGAGACACGGCCCAGACUCCUACGGGAGGCAGCAGUGGGGAAUUUUGGACAAUGGGCGAAAGCCUGAUCCAGCAAUGCCGCGUGUGUGAAGAAGGCCUGCGGGUUGUAAAGCACUUUUGUCCGGAAAGAAAUGGCUCUGGUUAAUACCUGGGGUCGAUGACGGUACCGGACGAAUAAGGACCGGCUAACUACGUCG
Molecule: ribosomal RNA, 510 nt
Filed under: uncultured microorganism
Description: bacterial SSU rRNA
Rfam family: Bacterial small subunit ribosomal RNA
Source: RNAcentral